CCCAUCUUUUUUUAUUUUUACAUUUUGAGGGGCUAUGUUUUUAACGACCGAUUUUUACUGGUCGUGUUGAGUUGCGGGUGUUUUUUUUUUCGUUUAGUUAGCCGAGCCUAACAGCGUCUUUUCUUCCUCGGUGCUGUUAUCUUCGUUUUGUGUACAGCUUGCCACCGAGCAGCGUUUGACUCUUGUGUCAAACCCAAAUGGAGCUAUAUAACCUACCCUCCAAAGAAGAGAAAAACACACACAAAACAACUCUGAAUACCUUUUUUUUUUUUUGUUGAGUUGUAAAGCCUUUUAUUUUUUUGCGGAAAACCAAGAAGACAUACACGCAAAUGUUCUUCUUUUCGUAUAGAAAUAUUAGGAUUUCUUCGUGGGGCUUUCCGCACGAAAAAUCAACAAAAAAGGCUCUGUUUUCUUUUGGGUGGCUUUUUUUUUUAACACACGAGGAACGAGAAUAUACAUAAGAGCGAGAAAAGAAAAAUCAGGAUGUGUGUUGAAUCUAGACACACACGCAACGAAGCCGAGAAGACUUGACGAUAAGACGUUUCGGUGGGACGAUGGAGAGAGAACAAAUAGACGACGAAGAGAAAGGCAAGUAACCUCAGAGACCACGUUGGGGUUUGAGGUCGUUAAAAAAAAGGAAAAAAAACAACUCUAAACACGAGGAAAGGAAAAAAAAGAAAAGAGGCACAGAGAGAGAGAGAAGGGCGACAUUAAAAAACACCUAUACGCCAUCGAGAAAAAGAACUUGCGGCGUAAUGUGGUAUGAUGAUGUGCUUCUGCUGCUGUUAAAAACUUGUUGCUGCCGUAGGUGCGGGCGCCGCAGGUCAACUCAACUACCUUUACCUUCUAUCGCUUUGGCUCUGCGAGCGGUGGCGGUCGUAUACGAUAAUGGCAAUAAUUGACUUUUAAUGACGCUGAAAAAAGGAAAAAAAAAAGGGAAUGAGGCUCCUUUUUUUUUCUACUUUACUUCUUACAUUUAUUUAAAAAAAAACUGAAAUAAAAUAUUUAGUUGCGCACGUUCCCGAUCCUUUUGGCCAUUUCACCUUUGGAAAACUAUUAGACUUUUUGCGUUAACACUCUGCGUUUUUUUUUUUAAUUCGGAUUCUAAAUGUACCAUCUCCAUUUUAGUUUUUUUUUUUCGUGUCGCAAAGGUAAAAAUAGAUUUUAGAUUUUAUUUUUUUUUUUUACAUUUUUAAAGCGUCAUUUUAAACGGAGCGGCAACAGGUCACCGAUUGUUCUGUUUGUGUUUUGCCUACAUGACAAGUGCUUCGAGAGAGAACUUGUGAUGAGGUUCGAGAAAGUUGACGUCGUCGUGCUAUGUAUGCGUGGCCCGCUUGUCCCUCUGCCCGUCUGUGUUUGCAUGACUAUUUGGUUAUGAAAUCUUCGCCCAAAAAAGAAGAAGAAAACCAAAAAAAAAAAAAAACAGUUCGGCUCUCUCCUUUUUUUUUUCUUCCUCCCCUCACCGUCUUGUUUAUACAAGAGAGUCACCUUUAUUUUUAUUUUUUUAUAUUUUCCUUGAAAAAAGAUUUUGGACAGAGAAAGAAAAAUGGAGACGACGUGGCACACAGAACACACAAGACAAAGGUGUUUCACCUUAGGCGAAAGAAAGUAGGCGAUUGUUUUUUUCGUGCUGUCGUCAACCUGAUUUUGCACCCGGAGAACUAUUGAAUACCUUGGAACAGAAAAGGUUUUCUUUUUCUUUUUGUUGUUUCACCUCUUGUGAGAUGGUAAUCUACCGACGACGACGAAGAUCGGCUCGCGCUUUCUUUAUAUAUUACAUGUUGUUUCCCUUUUCUUCUUCUUCUUCUUUCGUAUUCACUGGGACAACGGACCUACACACACACAAAAAGUCGGCGCCCCGGGAUAACCAUCUGAGAAAUGCUCUGGAAUGUCGCCAUGGAAAUCCGACAACGGGACGAUGCCAUGUGUCAUCGACGACCGCGUGACCUCGUCAUCGCUGACCUUCUUUAUAUUUCUCUUCGAAACAGUUUUCCUUAUUAGAAAGCUUCCCUCCCCAUUUUUAAUUACUUCACGUUAAGUCUUUUGUAAUAUUCAAAAAAAAAGAGAAGAAAAAAAUUCCCCUAUGCUUAGGGAUUUUUAAUAAAGCGGAAAUCAUGCAGAGUGUGGGGGUAGGUGGAGGGUGAAACGCACAGGGAUGUGAGAAAAAAAACAAAAUCCCUUGCAUGCUUGACCCCAUGCUGUCGCAACAUGUAGGAGAGAAUCUCCCGCACCACGGGAACAUCAUCAGAUUUUCAAAGUGGAAAACGGAAAAGAAGGGACAGAACAACAGAGUGCGAGUGAAUUUGUUGUUCCUAUCGUUUUAUUAUUCCACCUACGCAUUCAUUUUUUUGGGGAGAUUUGAAAAUCAUCAGCUGCGCGGCUUACAAAUUUGGUUGUUCGAAUAAAAAAACCAACUGCUGUUGUGUGUUUAUGUGAAUCUAAUAUUCAAUCGCGCGAAAAUGAGUUGGUGUUUAUGUAUCGAUCGAUUUGAUUUGAAGAUUGAAACAAAUACGGAAACAACAAAGAGGGCAACAUUCCUCGUGUUGCGCCGUGUGUGUCCGCAAGAGACCGGCCAGAAGCCAAGUCGACCGUGAUUCGACACAUCCACUCAAAAGAGAAUCAGAAAACUGUAAAAAGCAGAGAGGUUGGAGAAUGGGAAAGCGUUUGUGUGUUUUUUCCAGUUUCCCUCUCAUCUCUUUCGGAUGAGAAACUGGCAAAGAAUGACCGAAACUAGUAAUUUUUUCCAGUCGGCAUAACUCGCGGUAUAUAGUCAGCCAGUUUUUUUUUUUUGUUUUUGUUCUCCUCCUUUCUAUAAAGAAUGAGAGAACAGCAAAAGGCAACCGUUUUAUAAUCAUACAUCUACCAGUUUUUAAAAGUCAGGAGCAUAUACACUAUACAGAUAUGUGUAUAUACAUAAGACUGCCCCCCUCCCCCACCCCCUCUAAAGAAAAUUCCCGACCCACAUCCUCUUCAUUCUGGAUUGUGGCAAGUCAAACUGACUGCAAUUAUCGAGGCGUGUCCGCUAUAGCAUAAAAGUAUGCGCUCUAUAGUGAUGUUUUCUUUGUUUUUAUUCGACCACAAUAAGUGCGGGGGUAUAGGUAUAUCGCAAAGCCCGCCUUCCUCGUAUCCUGCUGUAUCUUUGCCCAUCCUCGGUUGCGGGUAUAAAAUGUUUAAAACAUAUAAAUUCUUUUUGAUAGUAUAGAUCCUCGUCGAGAAUGAAAUUACCACGCACGCAACACGCAACUAUAAACAUCGAGAAGUUAAAUGGAUAUAAUCCGCGCGCGCGCGCGCGCUGGAUCGACUCUGUUGUUCUGCCGAGCGAAAAAAAGAAAGAGAUAACAGUGUGUUCGAGACACACACACACACACUUUGUGCGGAACACGCGAUGAUCUAUGGACACGAACAUCAUAGUUCACCGUCAACGCCAAAAAUCGCCGACGAACGAUAGAUUAUUAUUACUAUAUUAGAUUCCGACAACCAUAUGGAAACACAAAAACGUGUAUAGAUGGAAAAGGAGGAGCAAAAGGAUGUAACCUGCUCAUUUGUAUAAUAAUUUUAAAGAACAAAACACGGGACGCUUAUUAGGCUACAAUAGACGUGUCAACUGUUGAUCCAUUGACAUCCGCUUUUAACCAGCUGACUUUUUCUUUGUUUUACAAUGAUACGGCUAACUUGUUUGAGUUACACGAAGAGGAGGGGCCCGAACAAGAACAGCACGGUGUAAUUAAGGUCACCUGUUCGUUUCUCUUUCUUUGUUUGCGUAAUAAAGGAGAGGAAAAAACAAAACAACUGCAUAAAGUUUUGGAAUUCUUGGAAUUAACUAAAGUUCCAGACGAUCCAUUUUAUCUUUUUGUAGUUUUGUGUGUGUGUUUGUGUGUGUGUGUGAUGUAAUUUGGCGACUAUGUCGUAGCGAUCUGCACGCAACAAUGGCGACACGAUCCUUCAAUGAUAAACGCAACAACGAUGAAUUAUUUUCGAAUUGCUUUGAUGGAUGGUAUCUGCGUUCUCUUGUUUGUUUUAUUUUUAUGGCUGCCUUUUUCGUGAUAGAUUGCGCUGAUAGUGUGAACCUCCUUUGGAAAACUGAAUAAAAAAAGCGGCCAGAGAAAGUUAUGAUCGGUCAUUUCGUUGGAGGCGACAAGGAACAUUGUAACUAGGCAAAUAACAACCAACCAACAACACGACACUGUAAUAACGAAGGACAAGCGGCUUCGAUUCACACAACCCGGCGCCACCAAUGCCAAACAAGAAAAUUACUAAUAAAAAGGAUUAUUUUCUUCUGAUAUCGAAGUCUCUUCUUUCUGCUCGGCUGUAUGUCUACGUCCCAUGUAUCGUAUGUAAAAUAUCUGCGUUCAUUGUUGCGCGGGGGUGGCCGUAUACCAAGAGAAAGGGGAGCGUGACACCCGCAAAGAGGGCUGCGUGAAACUCGAGACACACGCGCGAGCGAAGAGAAAAUAUGCAGGCAAAACUUGAAAUGAAAGAGAAAAAAGAAAAUGCCUCUCACGAUGUUUCCGUUCACUUCACACAAUCGCCCGCCGGAGCCUAUAAACGGGCAGCGAUUAUUGGGUUACACUGUGAGCGGCGUUCUAGUGCGUCGGCGAGAUCCAUAGGAACGUGAACGACGAUCGGUAUACCAUCGGCACGCCUCUCUAAAAAGUCUACCAGACGCAGACCGCACGCAGGAGCAGCAGCAAAAAAAAUGUAAAUGAGCCCAUUACGUAAAUUGGCUGUUCAAAAAGUCUCUCACAGCCCAUCUGAUUUUUUGUUGUUGUUGUUGAUUUUUUAUUUAUUUGACUUUGCGGGCGCGUGUUUCGUGGCCGGCGCAAAUUGGGAACAAACCGGAGGAAGUGACGUCAUCUCUGCGUAAUCGUAUAUUUAAAAAAAAAAAAGAAAAGAAAAACGCGUAGUACAGUGAAAACAUAUUCAAAGGCGGACUCCUCCAAUUCCCACGUCCGGAAUGUCUUCCAGCCGCGUCAAUCACGAAUCGUAGCAGCACAAAGAUACCAAUUAGUCUCCGCCCUUUACGUCUAUGUAUAUCCGUUCCUCCUCUUUUUACCAAUGUUGGAAAAUUCUGAAAGGGCUUCGGUCAUCAUUCAUAGACAUUUUUUUGUUUAAUGUUCACGUAUAGGAAUCGAGUGAGGAAGAGAGAGGACGUCCUAAUUAUAUAGACAUGUGGUAAUGUCAUAAUAUUCCUGAUUUUGACUUCCUUUCAUGUAGCAUACUGUUUUUGAAUAAAAUAAACGCUGGCUGUCUGAUUCAUUUCCUCCAUUUA
Long non-coding RNA from Daphnia magna, 5269 nucleotides. RefSeq lists it as uncharacterized. The record is from RefSeq and is a predicted model, not a curated record. Lineage: Eukaryota; Metazoa; Arthropoda; Branchiopoda; Diplostraca; Daphniidae. The transcript is spliced from 4 exons.